CAUGGGGACGUUGCACAGGGCAGGGAAAGGGGCUCGCCCACCACUGACCCCAUCCCCAUCCCUGCUCCAGCUCAGCCCCAAGUCCGCAUCAUCCCUGCGGAGACGGGGAACGCCCGUGUGCCCGUGCGCCUCAGCUGCCACAUCUGGGGCUUCUACCCCCCCGAGGUGACCGUCAUCUGGCUGCACAACGGGGACAUCAUGGAGCCCGAUGACUACAACCCCAUCUCCAACAUGCCCAACGGCGACUGGACUUACCAGACGCAGAUGUCCCUGCUGGUGGCCCCGGUGGCAGGCGACACCUACACGUGCUCGGUGCAGCACGUCAGCCUGCAGGAGCCUCUCCUGGAGGACUGGAGUGAGUGGAGAGGCGCAGGACCGCACCCGGAGGCCGGCGGUCUUGGCUCCUUGCUGCCACUCACCCGGCCAUGUCCCCGCAGGUCCCGGACUGAUGCCGGAGGUGACGAUACUGGUGGUGGUGGCCACCGUGCUGAUGGUGCUGGGACUUGGCUUAUUUCUCGCCGGCGUCUACCGCUACAAGGCCAGGCCUCCUGCCCCAGGUUACACUCCCCUCCCUGGAGACAACUACCCGGCAGGUAACGGUGUCCCCAUCCCCGUCCCCAUUGGCAAGGGGCAAAUUUCCCCAUCUCUCAACCUGUGUGUCCCCCCCUUCCCCAGGCAGCAUCUGAGGACCCCCAGACGGACACCUCCUGGCACCGGCGGCUCCCAGUUGGCCCCAUCUCAGACCCGAUGUCGAGGUGCUGACAAUAAAGUUGCUCCACAAGCCCCGCUGGUGUCUGUGCAGUGUUCUGGGCACAGGACAGAGGCUCACACAGUCCUACGGUGUCUCACAAAGAGGAGCGGGUGUGUGGGGGACAUGGCAUGGGACCCCAAAGGGCCAAGCGUGCCCUGGGGUGCCUCAGGCACGGCACUGCUGGCUGGCCGAGGGAAGGGAUCGUCCGGCUCUGCUCGGCCUGCUGCGGCCUCUCCUCGAGCACUGCGUGCAGCUGUGGGCACCGCAGCAGACGAAGGGCGUGAAACUGUGCGAGAGCCUCCAAGGGAGGGCUACGAGGACGGCGAAGGCUCUGCAGGGCAAGGCGUGUGAGGAGACGGUCUGCUGCAAGACGCCUUCCCAGGCAGCAAGGCCUCAGGACACAAAGCACCCAGGAAAUGCCACUGCCAGACUCCAUCUUCCUGUACAAAACUUUAUUUGACACAGUCCUGCUGCUGCUGGGCCUUGGAUAUAUAUACUCUAGAGGAAGGAAUAAAGAGCCCCCACAGGCUGCUC
This 1285-nucleotide long non-coding RNA is filed under the name Anas platyrhynchos platyrhynchos (common mallard). Its description in RNAcentral is "lncRNA (ENSAPLG00000020925.1)". Lineage: Eukaryota; Metazoa; Chordata; Aves; Anseriformes; Anatidae. The record is from RNAcentral.